Molecule: ribosomal RNA, 253 nt
Filed under: uncultured bacterium
Lineage: Bacteria
Description: partial 16S ribosomal RNA
Rfam family: Bacterial small subunit ribosomal RNA
Source: RNAcentral
UACGUAGGGUGCAAGCGUUGUCCGGAAUUAUUGGGCGUAAAGAGCUCGUAGGCGGUUUGUCGCGUCGGCUGUGAAAACCUGAGGCUCAACCUCAGGCCUGCAGUCGAUACGGGCGGACUUGAGUACUGCAGGGGAGACUGGAAUUCCUGGUGUAGCGGUGAAAUGCGCAGAUAUCAGGAGGAACACCGAUGGCGAAGGCAGGUCUCUGGGCCGCUACUGACGCUGAGAAGCGAAAGCAUGGGGAGCGAACAGG